UACGAAGGGGGCUAGCGUUGUUCGGAAUCACUGGGCGUAAAGCGCACGUAGGCGGAUCUUUAAGUCAGAGGUGAAAUCCCAAGGCUCAACCUUGGAACUGCCUUUGAUACUGGGGAUCUCGAGUCCGGGAGAGGUGAGUGGAACUGCGAGUGUAGAGGUGAAAUUCGUAGAUAUUCGCAAGAACACCAGUGGCGAAGGCGGCUCACUGGCCCGGUACUGACGCUGAGGUGCGAAAGCGUGGGGAGCAAACAG
This 252-nucleotide ribosomal RNA is filed under the name uncultured bacterium. RNAcentral describes it as "partial 16S ribosomal RNA". It matches the Rfam family "Bacterial small subunit ribosomal RNA", at positions 524 to 775 of the family's 1533-position model. The record is from RNAcentral.